This 4836-nucleotide ribosomal RNA is filed under the name Triticum aestivum (bread wheat). RNAcentral describes it as "partial small subunit ribosomal RNA". The record is from RNAcentral. Lineage: Eukaryota; Viridiplantae; Streptophyta; Magnoliopsida; Poales; Poaceae.
AUGACAGGGUUUCUUGACACGGUAGUUGGCGCAGCAAUAGGAUGGCUGGUGCAAAGCAUCCUUGGGACCUUCUUCACUGAACAGAUUGAAGACUGGAGUCGUGAAAUUGGACUUGCUGAAGAUGUGGAGAAGCUCAAAUUUGAGAUGAGAAAUGUGGAGAUGGUUCUUGCUGCUGCCGAGGGAAGGAGGAUUGAAAACAAGCCUCUGGCACAUUCACUGGAUUUUCUCAGAGAGCUGCUUUAUGACUCGGAAGAUGUGAUGGACGAGCUCAAUUACUACCGACUCCAGCAACUGAUCGAAGAAGGGAAAGGUUGUAGUUCUCCUAGUGAUGUUAAUCCUGAUGGAAGCUAUGCGUCCUCAUCCAGUCCAUCUUCUGCUUUUAAAUUAGUACGCAGUGCCACAAGCCAAAUGACGAGUUGGGCCCCGUUCAGCAGAAAAAGGAAACGUGAAGAGGUUCCAGCUCUAGCUCCUGAGAUUAAACAAGACAUUUCUCACAGAAUCAACAGAAUAGUGAAACAUUUAUGCACUAUUGGCAAUUCUGUGCAGAGAGUUCUUCAGCUUGAGAUCUCGCGCCCCACUGCAACAUCAAGUGAGAGUCAGAAUAUUUGUAGGAAUGUUCGCAUGACAACUUCUGUUCCAAUUGAAUGUAAGGUGUAUGGGAGGGAUGCAGAGAGAGACAAGAUAAUAGAGCUGUUGAUAGAAGGGGGAUCUAGUCAUCUGAAUGUUUUGCCAGUGGUUGGUAUGGGUGGUAUUGGGAAGACGACUCUUGCUAGAUAUGUAUACAAUGAUGAAAGAAUUGUAAAUCAUUUUGAUUUGCAAAUGUGGAUUUGUGUAUCCACGAACUUCGAUGAAAGGAGACUUACACUUGAGAUCUUAGAGCAUGUCUGUAAAGAUAGACAAGAGUACGAAAAUGUAAGCAAUUUCAAUGUACUACAGGGGAUCCUUUUGAAGUACAUCAGAAAGAAAAGAUUUCUGCUCGUAUUGGAUGACAUGUGGGAAGACAAGGACAAGAUUGGAUGGAUUAAACUCUUGGCUCCAUUGAAAGGUAAUCAAGUAAGUGGUUGCAUGAUACUAGCAACAACUAGAAUGAAAUCAGUUGCAGAAAUGAUACGAACGAUGGAUGAAGUCAGAAUGAGUGGCCUGAAUGAAAAUGAGUUUUGGGUGUUAUUCAAGGCAUGUGCAUUUGGUAAUGAGAACCACGAGGGUGAUCCUCGUUUGCAGUCUAUUGGCAAACAGAUUGCUGAAUCACUAAAGGGCUGCCCACUUGCUGCACGAAGUGUUGGUGCACUUUUGAACACAAGUGUUAGCGAUAAGCAUUGGAGGAUAGUUCGGGACAAAUGGAGAUCUCUCCAAGAAGAUGCUGAUGGUAUUUUAUCUGUCUUGAAGCUCAGUUAUGAUUAUCUACCAGUUCACCUUCAACACUGUUUCUCGUACUGCUCUUUGUUUCCAAAGAGCAAACUAUUUGAUGGGAAAGAAUUGGUCCAUGCAUGGAUAUCACAGAAUUUUGUGCAGUGUGAAGACCCUACCAUGAAAUUGGAGGAAAUAGGGCGGCGAUAUUUGGAUAGAUUAGUUGAUUUGGGCUUCUUCCAGAAGUUUGGCUCACGCUAUGUUAUGCAUGAUCUAAUGCAUGAAUUGGCAAGGAAAGUUUCAUCAAACGAGUGUGCUACUAUACAUGGAUUGAAACCUGAGGCAAUUCAACCAUGUGUUCGCCAUCUGUCAAUCAUAACUACUGCUUUUGAUAAAGAUAAACCUGGCAGUUUUCCUCAUGAGAAGUUUGAUCAAAUACUUCAGAAGGUUGGGCCUUCGCAAAAAUUGAGGACUUUGAUGUUGUUUGGGCGAAGCAGCGUAAAUUUAUUUGGGUCCUUACAUACUUUAUGCAGGAAGGCAAAAUGUUUACGAUUCCUAAGAAUUUAUGUGACAGAUGCUGACAUCAGCUCUAUACACAGUUUAUUAAAUCCAUGCCAUCUUCGCUAUCUUGAAUAUAUUCAUGUUGACAUUACAGACAGAUCAUUAUAUAGAGUCUACAACAACACUGUGUUUCCUCAAGCACUGACAAGAUUCUAUCAACUUCAAGUAUUGAAUGUGGGAAUUUCAGGCAAUUUUGUUGUGCCUGCUAAUAUGCAUGAUCUUGUUAAUUUGCGCCAUCUUAUUUCUCAUGAGAAAGUGCAUCAGGCAAUAGCUUGUGUUGGCCACAUGACCUCUCUUCAGGAAUUAAGUUUCAAGGUUCAAAAUGUCGGUAGUUUUGAGAUAAGAGAACUUCAGUCCCUAAAUGAGCUUGUACUACUUGAAAUUUCUCAACUUGAAAACGUGAAGACUAAAGAAGAGGCCAGUAUGGCCAGGCUGUCAGACAAAGAGUAUCUAGAAACAUUGUUGUUGUCAUGGGAGGAUAACAGCACGAGCCGUCAAGCAGAGGCAGCAAAGGAUGUGCUUGAAGUUCUUCAGCCACAUCAGGAUCUCAAAACUCUAGAAAUAACCGGAUAUGGUGGUGCUACCUCCCCAACCUGGCUUUCUAAUAAUUCCUCACUUACCUUGCUGCAGAUACUUCAUCUAGAGAAGUGCAGGGAAUGGCAAAUUCUUCCAACUCCUGAAAUGCUUCCUUUCCUUAGGAAGUUGACAUUGAUCAGAAUGUUGAAUUUAACGGAAAUCUCAGUUCCUUCCUUGGAAGAGCUGAUCUUGAUUGAUAUGCCCAAAUUGGAAAAGUGUAUCGGUUCUUACGGAAUGGAAUUGACUUCCCGUCUAAGGGUUUUGAUGAUCAAAAACUGCCCUCAACUGAACGAGUGCACUCAUUUCCAGAGUUACUCUUCUUUCGACGCAGAGCAGAAGUCAUGGUUUCCGUCUCUCCGCAAACUGUCCAUCGGGAUGUGUCCUCAUAUACUAAACAACUGGCCAGUCCUUCCAUUAAGAGAUAUGGGGGCGCUCAAGGAGCUGGAGUUGAUGGACCUGCAUGUUGUGAGAGAAUUGGCAGUCCCUUCUCUGAAGAAGUUGGUGUUGAUAAAAAUGUCAAGCCUGGAAGUUUGCAGCAGUCUAACGACUUCCCCACCUCUGCAACUUUUACCUUCCCAAGGUGCUCAAAGGGGAUGGCCAUCAAGUCUCCGUAGACUCGUCAAGGGGGUUCGGACCCUUCCAACAAUAAGGAUAAGACAGAGAGGUUUCACUGUCGAAUCUAAUGAGUUGUCCCUGCUUGAUGACAGUAUCCUGGCGUUCAAUAACCUUGGGGGCACAAUAUCAUUGCGCAUAGAAAAUAGUCCAAAUCUUGUAUCUCUUUCAAUUGAAGCUUUCAGCCAGCUCAUUGCUUUAGAGUAUUUAUAUAUACGCAACUGCCCUAAUCUGACCAUGUCAAACACUAUCUCAGAGUUUGUCCAGGAAAACAGUAUGCCUGCAAGCAACAUUGUCCUCCCAUCUCUCAAACAUGUUAACAUUGACACAUGUGGAGUAACAGGGAGGUGGCUAACACAAAUGCUUUCACAUUCACCGUCCCUUGAGAGGUUGCAAUUAACUAACUGUCCGCAGAUAAAGUUUCUAUCAAUCAGUCAACCUACAGAAACGGAAGGAACCAGGAGUUUGGCUUCAACAGCGAUGACCACAGCCCAAGAUGAACAGGAACUAAAACUGCCAUAUAAUCUCCUAUGUUCUCUCAAGACGUUAUGUAUUUCGAAGAGCCUGGACCUGGAGUUCUGCGGGGGUAAGAGAGAGCUCACAGGAUUCACCUCUCUUAGGAAGCUACACCUUGUUGGUUGCCCCAAGCUAGUCUCAUCGUGGAUUGGGGAAACAAAUGAUGAUGGUACCAUGCAUGUUAGUAGAUUGCUCCCGCCAUCACUUGAAGACCUUUGUAUGGGUCCUCUCCCAGAAAACUUGCAGUCAUUCACUCCCCAAGGCCUUCUCUGCCUCAAAAGGUUAAAUCUAUUUAGUGGCCCGUGUUUGAAGUCUGUGCAGCUACAUUCCUGUACGGCCUUGGAGUUCUUGCGAAUCGCAUGUUGUGUCCAGCUGGCUGCACUGGAGGGCUUGCAGUUUCUCAGCUCUCUCCGAAGCUUGUGGAUGGAGAUGAAUCCCGAGCUGUCUUCUGCAUGGGAUCUCAAACUGCUGGAGCAAGAACAGGGUGGCAAUCAAAUUCAGCUGCUUCCUCCCUCACUUGUAGAACUUCGGAUCUGGAAGCUCACAGAUAGUGUCCUGUCCGGUCUCCUGUCCUGCCUUCCUGCCUUGACCAAAUUAGCAAUAUUGAUCAGUCCAGAAUUGACGUCUCUACAGUUGGCAUAUUGCACGGCACUGGAAGAGUUGGAAAUUGGAUAUAGCAAGUCGCUUCCAUCGAUCGAGGGGCUCCAGUUCUGUAGAAACCUGACAUCCUUGAAAGUAUUUAAGUCCCCUGACUCCAGUUCCUGUUUGGAGUAUGUGUCGCGCCAGCAAGGGGCCUCUGAGAUCUGGUCUCGACUGAAAACUCUUAACAUUAGUGACCCAUCAUCUGCCCUUUCCAAGCCCUUGUGCAAACAGCUCACAACUCUAAGAUGCCUAAACUUCACCUGUGGGGGUGAUAAACAGGGAGAGACCUUGGUGACCCUAACAGAAGAACAAGAGAGCGUGUUACAGCUUCUAACCUCACUCCAAAAACUUGUAUUUCAUAGCUUCCCGAAUCUCUUGUCACUUCCUGCAAACCUACAAAGCCUGACCUCCCUCAAGAUGUUAUCUAUCAAUCAUUGUCAGAGGAUCACAAGGCUUCCAGACAUGGGCCUUCCACCUUCACUUAGGUACCUUAAGUUAGUCAGUUGCAGUGAGGAGCUAGGUAUGCAAUGUAGAAUUGCAGCAACUAAAAAGCUAAGGGUCAAGAUUGAAUAUCUGAAAUAA